UAGAGUUGUAAAACUCCCAACCCAUGUGAACAUACCUCUGUUGCCUCGGUGGCCUACCCGGCGGCUAUUUACUUAGCUACCCUGUAGUCCGCCGAAGGAAUACUAAACUCUUGUUUUUUGGAAUCUCUGAAUCAAAUACAAAUAAGUUA
This 149-nucleotide unclassified non-coding RNA is filed under the name uncultured Nectriaceae. RNAcentral's name for it is "sequence contains ITS1". Lineage: Eukaryota; Fungi; Ascomycota; Sordariomycetes; Hypocreales; Nectriaceae. The record is from RNAcentral.